AAACCUCUAGCAGAAAAUGGCUACUCAGCAAAAGUAAAAAAGACCCCAAAAUGAAAAAGGGAAAAACGAGAAUGCAAAAUUGACCAAAUGAGAAGCAUGAUCCCUAAGCCGAAAUAUUGAGUGGCUUGAGUCCUCAUUCGACACCAACUCCCUACAACUUCAAAAUCCACUAAUUCUCUCCUAAUACUCUCCUCAUAUCGCUCCUCAACUCCCUCCUACAAUCCCUCCAUGACUGAUUCAAACUCCCCUCCACUCAUUAGUGUUUCAGUCAAACACAACUACCUCCCAAGGCAAACAGUAAAAAUAAUCUCCAUUUGCGCAAGUAGGGAUUCG
This 333-nucleotide long non-coding RNA is filed under the name Gossypium barbadense (sea-island cotton). Its description in RNAcentral is "long non-coding RNA (GBAR_LNC012298)". The record is from RNAcentral. Lineage: Eukaryota; Viridiplantae; Streptophyta; Magnoliopsida; Malvales; Malvaceae.